RNAcentral lists this ribosomal RNA (928 nucleotides) under uncultured Chloroflexota bacterium. Its description in RNAcentral is "bacterial SSU rRNA". It matches the Rfam family "Bacterial small subunit ribosomal RNA", at positions 383 to 1325 of the family's 1533-position model. Lineage: Bacteria; Bacillati; Chloroflexota. The record is from RNAcentral.
UAGACGCAGCAACGCCGCGUGGGUGAUGAAGGGCUUCGGGUCGUAAAACCCUUUUCCUGGGGGAAGAGUAAGGACGGUACCCCAGGAAUAAGCCUCGGCUAACUAUGUGCCAGCAGCCGCGGUAAUACAUAGGAGGCAAGCGUUAUCCGGAUUUACUGGGCGUAAAGAGCGUUGAGGCGGCUUCGUAAGUUGGACGUGAAAGCUCCCGGCUUAACUGGGAGAGGCCGUUCAAUACUGCGGGGCUUGAGGACAGCAGAGGGGGGUGGAAUUUCCGGUGUAGUGGUGAAAUGCGUAGAUAUCGGAAGGAACACCAGUGGCGAAGGCGGCCCCCUGGGCUGCUCCUGACGCUGAAGGCGAAAGCUAGGGUAGCGAACGGGAUUAGAAACCCCGGUAGUCCUAGCCGUAAACGAUGGAUACUAGGUGUAGGAGGUUAAAAUUCCUUCUGUGCCGGAGCUAACGCGUUAAGUAUCCCGCCUGGGGAGUACGGUCGCAAGGCUAAAACUCAAAGGAAUUGACGGGGGCCCGCACAAGCAGCGGAGCGUGUGGUUUAAUUCGAUGCAACGCGAAGAACCUUACCAGGGCUUGACAUGUAGGUAGUAGUGAAGCGAAAGCGGAACGAUCCUUCGGGAAGCCUACACAGGUGCUGCAUGGCUGUCGUCAGCUCGUGCCGUGAGGUGUUAGGUUAAGUCCUGUAACGAGCGCAACCCCUGCCGUUAGUUGCCAGCGAGUAAAGUCGGGGACUCUAACGAGACUGCCGGUGUUAAACCGGAGGAAGGUGGGGAUGACGUCAAGUCCUCAUGGCCUUUAUGCCCAGGGCUGCAAACGUGCUACAAUGGCGUGUACAAACCGACGCAAGACCGCGAGGUGGAGCAAAUCGGAAAAAGCACGCCCCAGUUCGGAUUGGAGUCUGCAACUCGACUCCAUGAAG